RNAcentral lists this long non-coding RNA (206 nucleotides) under Hordeum vulgare. RNAcentral describes it as "long non-coding RNA (HVUL_LNC004086)". The record is from RNAcentral. Lineage: Eukaryota; Viridiplantae; Streptophyta; Magnoliopsida; Poales; Poaceae.
UGGUAACGACCUCACCCUUGGUUUGGUAGAGCUGUUUGUGUCUAUGCCAGAAGGGGAACAUGGAUCUGGUUUUAAAAAUAAAUAAAUCACUCAAUUCAUACUGCAUCUUCAUGUUUGGCAGUAAUUUAUUUCAAACUGCUCGUCAAAUUUGGGAACACAUGACCCUGGAACAGUAAUGUGUAUCACACAUCACCAUCUUGUUAGCC